This 562-nucleotide ribosomal RNA is filed under the name uncultured fungus. Its description in RNAcentral is "eukaryotic LSU rRNA". The stretch from base 206 to 359 matches the Rfam family "5.8S ribosomal RNA". The record is from RNAcentral. Lineage: Eukaryota; Fungi.
CGUACAGGUCUCCGUAGGUGAACCUGCGGAGGGAUCAUUACACAAAUAUGAAGGCGGGCUGGAACCUCUCGGGGUUACAGCCUUGCUGAAUUAUUCACCCUUGUCUUUUGCGUACUUCUUGUUUCCUUGGUGGGUUCGCCCACCACUAGGACAAACAUAAACCUUUUGUAAUUGCAAUCAGCGUCAGUAACAAAUUAAUAAUUACAACUUUCAACAACGGAUCUCUUGGUUCUGGCAUCGAUGAAGAACGCAGCGAAAUGCGAUAAGUAGUGUGAAUUGCAGAAUUCAGUGAAUCAUCGAAUCUUUGAACGCACAUUGCGCCCUUUGGUAUUCCAAAGGGCAUGCCUGUUCGAGCGUCAUUUGUACCCUCAAGCUUUGCUUGGUGUUGGGCGUCUUGUCUCUAGCUUUGCUGGAGACUCGCCUUAAAGUAAUUGGCAGCCGGCCUACUGGUUUCGGAGCGCAGCACAAGUCGCACUCUCUAUCAGCAAAGGUCUAGCAUCCACUAAGCCUUUUUUUCAACUUUUGACCUCGGAUCAGGUAGGGAUACCCGCUGAACUUAAGC